This 83-nucleotide transfer RNA is filed under the name Bacteroidales bacterium. Its description in RNAcentral is "tRNA-Leu". It matches the Rfam family "tRNA". From Rfam's summary of the family: Transfer RNA (tRNA) molecules are approximately 80 nucleotides in length. Lineage: Bacteria; Pseudomonadati; Bacteroidota; Bacteroidia; Bacteroidales. The record is from RNAcentral.
GCCCGAAUGGUGGAAUGGUAGACACGAGGGACUUAAAAUCCCUUGGCCUCACAGCCGUGCGGGUUCGAGUCCCGCUUCGGGCA